UACGAAGGGGGCUAGCGUUGCUCGGAAUUACUGGGCGUAAAGGGAGCGUAGGCGGGUUAUCAAGUUGGGGGUGAAAGCCCGGGGCUCAACCUCGGAAUUGCCUUCAAAACUGAUAACCUGGAGUAUGGAAGAGGUAAGUGGAACUCCGAGUGUAGAGGUGAAAUUCGUAGAUAUUCGGAAGAACACCAGUGGCGAAGGCGACUUACUGGUCCAUUACUGACGCUGAGGCUCGAAAGCUAGGGGAGCAAAUGGG
Molecule: ribosomal RNA, 253 nt
Filed under: uncultured bacterium
Lineage: Bacteria
Description: partial 16S ribosomal RNA
Rfam family: Bacterial small subunit ribosomal RNA
Source: RNAcentral